UACGAAGGGGACUAGCGUUGUUCGGAAUCACUGGGCGUAAAGCGCACGUAGGCGGAUUUGUAAGUCAGGGGUGAAAUCCCGGGGCUCAACCUCGGAACUGCCUUUGAUACUGCGAAUCUUGAGUCCGAUAGAGGUGGGUGGAAUUCCUAGUGUAGAGGUGAAAUUCGUAGAUAUUAGGAAGAACACCAGUGGCGAAGGCGGCCCACUGGAUCGGUACUGACGCUGAGGUGCGAAACGUGGGGAGCAAACGGG
Molecule: ribosomal RNA, 252 nt
Filed under: uncultured bacterium
Lineage: Bacteria
Description: partial 16S ribosomal RNA
Rfam family: Bacterial small subunit ribosomal RNA
Source: RNAcentral